GUGAGGCUACAGCACCAGAACGCUUGCUUGUGCAUAACUAAGGCGACCUGCCCUCUUCAAGCAGCCCUUUUAACUGGGAGCAAAGCGA
This is a small nucleolar RNA of Piliocolobus tephrosceles (Ugandan red Colobus), 88 nucleotides long. Lineage: Eukaryota; Metazoa; Chordata; Mammalia; Primates; Cercopithecidae. The record is from Ensembl.